AUGUCUCAAUCCUUGUACAGCUCAAAGCUGCUUCACCCUGAGAUGUCACUGAUGGAUCCAGUUCUUUCUGCUUGGAAAAUAAAUGCCUGGAGUGGUCUGUGGUGGUUUUGUGCAGCAGGAGAUGGUUGGAAUUCUUCAUGUUUUACCUCAGCCCGUGCCAGCAGCAGCUUUGCCUUUAAAUGCCCUUUUUUGUUCUGUUUGGAGGGCAGGUGGACGCUCCUGGGAGCUGGGGCUGCGUUCAGGGAAGAAGUUGCCUUCUCCCAAUCUCCUGGGAGCUCCUUUUCUGGGAAUGCCUGUCCUGUAUGCUUCUCUUCCUGUGAUACCUGGGAUACCAGGAACACAAAGCUUUUCAAUUUUCUGCUCACCUUACCAUCCUCAGGAGGGUCCCAGCUUGGGAAAUGUGAUCCUGCUUCAAUUAGAUCCAUGAUCCAUGAGAGGAUUCCUCUCCUUGUGGGAAGGCUGCAGCAGCCCAGUGCAAAGGGUCCCAAGGAAUGAUUUCCUGCCGGGGUGACGUGGAUUUCGGUGUGGAUUUCCUCUCCCUUCUGUGAAUUCGAGCCAGGCUGAGGACUUGAAAGUAAAACGAGAUCGUGUCUGGGCAGGGAUUGAGACUUGGAAGUAGCAAUGAGCUGGUUUAUGACAACAAAGAGGGGAAAAAAAGGAGCCUUUGGCUCAGGAUUUAUUUAGAGAUGAAGGCUCAGGGCCGUGAACGCCCUGGGGCUGAGGUAGAAGCAGCUCCUCGGCAAUGGAGAUAAGAGGGUCCUUUGGCAGCGGCUGCAGGAAGCACUUUUUGUCUGGAUUGAAUCCGCAGGGCGAGGCCAUGGGAAAUCAGGUCAGUGUGGAGAUUUUAUUAGUGCUGCAGUCACCCUCCCCACGUCCUAGGCUGGGUUAGAGCAGGAGGGAAUCACAGAAUUCUGGAAUGGUUUGGGUUGGAAGGGUCAUGAAGCUUGUCUGGCUAUACCCCUGCCAUGGCAGGGACACCUCCCACUGUCCCAGGCUGCUCCCAGCCCCAUCCAGCCUGGCCUUGGGCACUGCCAGGGAUCCAGGGGCAGCCCCAGCUGCUCUGGGCACCCUGUGCCAGGGCCUCACCUCUCUCGCAGGGAAUUUCUCCCCACUAUCCCUUCUUACCCUGUCCUCCUUCAGCUUGAGGUGUUAGGGAAGAGCCAGGAGGCUCCGGAGUGGUCACCACAGGGACACUGUAGGGAUGUGCUGCCUGGGGAGCUGGAGCCCUCAGUUUUGGGGGACAGGGUCACAAAGGGAUAAUGGACUUGUUUAUUCUUGUGGCUCUCCCCAGCCUGAGGGAGGUGCUGGCAGAGGGGGCUGUGUGAGGAGCUGCAGGGUUGGUUUAGGGACCAUUGACUUUGCUUUCUAGCAGGGGUUACAGUGAACUUGUCAGCAAUGCACACAUUAAAAUAGUGAGUUGUAAUUUCUAAUAAACAGUUUUAACAAUAACA
Molecule: long non-coding RNA, 1451 nt
Filed under: Lonchura striata (white-rumped munia)
Lineage: Eukaryota; Metazoa; Chordata; Aves; Passeriformes; Estrildidae
Description: domestica (Bengalese finch) lncRNA (ENSLSDG00000003419.1)
Source: RNAcentral